UACGGGAGGCAGCAGUGGGGAAUAUUGGACAAUGGGCGCAAGCCUGAUCCAGCCAUGCCGCGUGUGUGAAGAAGGCCUUUUUGGUUGUAAAGCACUUUAAGCGAGGAGGAGGCUCUCUUAGUUAAUACCUAAGAUGAGUGGACGUUACUCGCAGAAUAAGCACCGGCUAACUCUGUGCCAGCAGCCGCGGUAAUACAGAGGGUGCGAGCGUUAAUCGGAUUUUACUGGGCGUAAAGCGUGCGUAGGCGGCUUUUUUAAGUCGGAAUGUGAAAUCCCCGAGCUUAACUUGGGAAUUGCAUUCGAUACUGGGAAGCUAGAGUAUGGGAGAGGAUGGUAGAAUUCCAGGUGUAGCGGUGAAAUGCGUAGAGAUCUGGAGGAAUACCGAUGGGCGAAGGGCAGCCAUCUGGGCCUAAUACUGACGCUGAGGUACGAAAAGCAUGGGGAGGCAAAACAGGAUUAGAUACC
RNAcentral lists this ribosomal RNA (465 nucleotides) under uncultured bacterium. Its description in RNAcentral is "bacterial SSU rRNA". It matches the Rfam family "Bacterial small subunit ribosomal RNA", at positions 340 to 786 of the family's 1533-position model. The record is from RNAcentral.